This 254-nucleotide ribosomal RNA is filed under the name uncultured Pseudomonas sp. RNAcentral's name for it is "partial 16S ribosomal RNA". It matches the Rfam family "Bacterial small subunit ribosomal RNA", at positions 99 to 356 of the family's 1533-position model. Lineage: Bacteria; Pseudomonadati; Pseudomonadota; Gammaproteobacteria; Pseudomonadales; Pseudomonadaceae. The record is from RNAcentral.
CGGACGGGUGAGUAAUGCCUAGGAAUCUGCCUGGUAGUGGGGGACAACGUUUCGAAAGGAACGCUAAUACCGCAUACGUCCUACGGGAGAAAGCAGGGGACCUUCGGGCCUUGCGCUAUCAGAUGAGCCUAGGUCGGAUUAGCUAGUUGGUGAGGUAAUGGCUCACCAAGGCGACGAUCCGUAACUGGUCUGAGAGGAUGAUCAGUCACACUGGAACUGAGACACGGUCCAGACUCCUACGGGAGGCAGCAGUG